RNAcentral lists this transfer RNA (69 nucleotides) under Elateridae sp. 2 ACP-2013. RNAcentral describes it as "tRNA-Met". The record is from RNAcentral. Lineage: Eukaryota; Metazoa; Arthropoda; Insecta; Coleoptera; Elateridae.
UAAAAAGAUAAGCUAAAAUAAGCUUUUGGGUUCAUACCCCAAAUAUAAAGUCAUCAACCUUUUCUUUUU